RNAcentral lists this transfer RNA (67 nucleotides) under Teredothyra matocotana. RNAcentral describes it as "tRNA-Ser". The record is from RNAcentral. Lineage: Eukaryota; Metazoa; Mollusca; Bivalvia; Myida; Teredinidae.
GAGGCGGAUGGGAUUAUAGCGGGAUUUCUAAUUUUGUUUUAAGCGGUUCGACUCCGUUUCUGCUUUU